RNAcentral lists this ribosomal RNA (229 nucleotides) under uncultured bacterium. Its description in RNAcentral is "partial 16S ribosomal RNA". It matches the Rfam family "Bacterial small subunit ribosomal RNA", at positions 568 to 796 of the family's 1533-position model. The record is from RNAcentral.
CGCGUAGGCGGCCUGGCAAGUGGCGUGUGAAAUCCCCUGGCUCAACCAGGGAACUGCGCUCCAAACUGCCAGGCUUGAGGACAGUAGAGGAAACUGGAAUCCCAGGUGUAGCGGUGAAAUGCGUAGAUAUCUGGAGGAACACCAUUGGCGAAGGCGAGUUUCUGGGCUGAGCCUGACGCUGAGGCGCGAAAGCUGGGGGAGCAAACAGGAUUAGAUACCCUGGUAGUCC